RNAcentral lists this ribosomal RNA (253 nucleotides) under uncultured bacterium. RNAcentral's name for it is "partial 16S ribosomal RNA". It matches the Rfam family "Bacterial small subunit ribosomal RNA", at positions 524 to 776 of the family's 1533-position model. The record is from RNAcentral.
UACGGAGGGGGCUAGCGUUAUUCGGAAUUAUUGGGCGUAAAGGGCGCGUAGGCGGUCCGGUAAGUCAAAGGUGAAAUCCCUCGGCUCAACUGAGGAACUGCCUUUGAAACUGUCGGGCUUGAGGCCGGGAGGGGGUAGCGGAAUUCCCAGUGUAGCGGUGAAAUGCGUAGAUAUUGGGAGGAACACCGGUGGCGAAGGCGGCUACCUGGACCGGUUCUGACGCUGAUGCGCGAAAGCGUGGGUAGCAAACAGG